This 253-nucleotide ribosomal RNA is filed under the name uncultured bacterium. Its description in RNAcentral is "partial 16S ribosomal RNA". It matches the Rfam family "Bacterial small subunit ribosomal RNA", at positions 524 to 776 of the family's 1533-position model. The record is from RNAcentral.
GACAGAGGUGCCGAGCGUUAGGCGGAAUCACUGGGCUUAAAGCGUGUGUAGGCGGAUCGUUAAGUGCCUUGUGAAAUCCCACGGCUCACCCGUGGAACUGCUGGGCAUACUGGCGGUCUUGAGCCACCUAGGGGCAACCGGAACAAACGGUGGAGCGGUGAAAUGCGUAGAUAUCGGAAGGAACACCUGUGGCAAAAGCGGCUCACUGGACCACAACUGACGCUGAGGCACGAAAGCUAGGGGAGCAAACAGG